Molecule: unclassified non-coding RNA, 351 nt
Filed under: soil metagenome
Description: partial contains 5.8S ribosomal RNA, internal transcribed spacer 2, and large subunit ribosomal RNA
Rfam family: 5.8S ribosomal RNA (bases 1-119)
Source: RNAcentral
GAUGAAGACGUAGCGAAAUGCGAUAAGUAAUGUGAAUUGCAGAAUUCAGUGAAUCAUCGAAUCUUUGAACGCACAUUGCGCCCGCCAGUAUUCUGGCGGGCAUGCCUGUUCGAGCGUCAUUACAACCCUCAGGCCCCCGGGCCUGGCGUUGGGGAUCGGCGGAGCCCCCCGUGGGCACACGCCGUCCCCCAAAUGCAGUGGCGGUCCCGCCGCAGCUUCCAUCGCGUAGUAGCUAACACCUCGCGACUGGAGAGCGGCGCGGCCACGCCGUAAAACACCCAACUCUUCUGAAGUUGACCUCGAAUCAGGUAGGAAUACCCGCUGAACUUAAGCAUAUCAAUAAGCGGAGGA